UACGGGGGGGGUAAGCGUUGUUCGGAAUUACUGGGCGUAAAGGGCUCGUAGGCGGCCAACUAAGUCAGACGUGAAAUCCCUCAGCUUAACUGGGGAACUGCGUCUGAUACUGGAUGGCUUGGAUUCGGGAGAGGAAUGCGGAAUUCCAGGUGUAGCGGUGAAAUGCGUAGAUAUCUGGAGGAACACCGGUGGCGAAGGCGGCAUUCUGGACCGAUAUUGACGCUGAGACGCGAAAGCGUGGGGAGCAAACAGG
Molecule: ribosomal RNA, 253 nt
Filed under: uncultured bacterium
Lineage: Bacteria
Description: partial 16S ribosomal RNA
Rfam family: Bacterial small subunit ribosomal RNA
Source: RNAcentral